GCUAGUUGUGCGGGUUUAGACCCGCAGCGGAAAGCUCAGUAACACGUGGCCAAGCUACCCUGUGGACGGGAAUACUCUCGGGAAACUGAGGCUAAUCCCCGAUAACGCUUUGCUCCUGGAAGGGGCAAAGCCGGAAACGCUCCGGCGCCACAGGAUGCGGCUGCGGUCGAUUAGGUAGACGGUGGGGUAACGGCCCACCGUGCCCAUAAUCGGUACGGGUUGUGAGAGCAAGAGCCCGGAGACGGAAUCUGAGACAAGAUUCCGGGCCCUACGGGGCGCAGCAGGCGCGAAACCUUUACACUGUACGAAAGUGCGAUAAGGGGACUCCGAGUGUGAAGGCAUAGAGCCUUCACUUUUGUACACCGUAAGGUGGUGCACGAAUAAGGACUGGGCAAGACCGGUGCCAGCCGCCGCGGUAAUACCGGCAGUCCGAGUGAUGGCCGAUCUUAUUGGGCCUAAAGCGUCCGUAGCUGGCUGAACAAGUCCGUUGGGAAAUCUGUCCGCUUAACGGGCAGGCGUCCAGCGGAAACUGUUCAGCUUGGGACCGGAAGACCUGAGGGGUACGUCUGGGGUAGGAGUGAAAUCCUGUAAUCCUGGACGGACCGCCGGUGGCGAAAGCGCCUCAGGAGAACGGAUCCGACAGUGAGGGACGAAAGCUAGGGUCUCGAACCGGAUUAGAUACCCGGGUAGUCCUAGCUGUAAACGAUGUCCGCUAGGUGUGGCGCAGGCUACGAGCCUGCGCUGUGCCGUAGGGAAGCCGAGAAGCGGACCGCCUGGGAAGUACGUCUGC
This 790-nucleotide ribosomal RNA is filed under the name Halobacterium salinarum. Its description in RNAcentral is "bacterial SSU rRNA". It matches the Rfam family "Archaeal small subunit ribosomal RNA", at positions 53 to 844 of the family's 1478-position model. Lineage: Archaea; Methanobacteriati; Methanobacteriota; Halobacteria; Halobacteriales; Halobacteriaceae. The record is from RNAcentral.